GAGUAGUUGGUUGAACAUUUUGGACAAUUGCAUUACGUGAACGACAAACGCUGCGCGUAUGGAUGUGAAUGGAUACAGGUUCGCACCAAGAUACAGCCUGGCAGAUGCUGGAUGAUAGCGCACGCUCCGCUACAGCUCCAGCACCAGCUCCCACAUGGCCACAUUAUGUGCUGCCACGGCCGAUGUCCUCUGAAUACGCUCAUUAUAGUAUCGAUCACCUUUCAUGCGCCACAAUUGAGGAUGGAGUAAGAGAUACAAUCGCAUCAUGGCCAAGCCGCUGCAGAUACAUGCUGAAAUGCAAAUGUAAUACCGAAAGGGCCGCGGGGCACACAUUUUGAGCAGCGAUAUAAGUUCAAAACAUGGGAGUAGAAAAAUUACAGCUGUUAAGGACGUAAAAGGAAUAUAUAGGAAUAUAGGUAGAUAUUUUAAAGAUAUGUAUUUUAAAGCCACU
This 451-nucleotide long non-coding RNA is filed under the name Drosophila melanogaster (fruit fly). Its description in RNAcentral is "long non-coding RNA:CR43724 (Dmel_CR43724)". Lineage: Eukaryota; Metazoa; Arthropoda; Insecta; Diptera; Drosophilidae. The record is from RNAcentral.